RNAcentral lists this unclassified non-coding RNA (332 nucleotides) under soil metagenome. Its description in RNAcentral is "partial contains 5.8S ribosomal RNA, internal transcribed spacer 2, and large subunit ribosomal RNA". The stretch from base 1 to 120 matches the Rfam family "5.8S ribosomal RNA", at positions 35 to 154 of the family's 154-position model. The record is from RNAcentral.
GAUGAAGAACGUAGCGAAAUGCGAUAAGUAGUGUGAAUUGCAGAAUUCAGUGAAUCAUCGAAUCUUUGAACGCACAUUGCGCCCUUUGGUAUUCCUUAGGACAUGCCUGUUCGAGCGUCAUUUAAACCUUCAAGCUAAGCUUGGUGUUGGGUGACUGUCCGCUUCACGGCGGACUCGCCUCAAAAUUAUUGGCGGCCGGUACAUUGGCUUCGAGCGCAGCAGAAACGCGAACUCGGGCCCGUCGUAUUGGCUCCCAGAAGCUAUCUUCACAAUUUUGACCUCGGAUCAGGUAGGGAUACCCGCUGAACUUAAGCAUAUCAAUAAGCGGAGGA